UACGGGGGGUGCAAGCGUUGUUCGGAAUCAUUGGGCGUAAAGAGCGUGUAGGCGGCGUGGUAAGUCAGAUGUGAAAGCCCUGGGCUUAACCCAGGAAGUGCAUUUGAAACUGCCAUGCUAGAGUACGGGAGAGGGAAGUGGAAUUCCUGGUGUAGAGGUGAAAUUCGUAGAUAUCAGGAGGAACACCGGUGGCGAAGGCGACUUCCUGGCCCGAUACUGACGCUGAGACGCGAGAGCGUGGGGAGCAAACAGG
RNAcentral lists this ribosomal RNA (253 nucleotides) under uncultured microorganism. RNAcentral describes it as "partial 16S ribosomal RNA". It matches the Rfam family "Bacterial small subunit ribosomal RNA", at positions 524 to 776 of the family's 1533-position model. The record is from RNAcentral.